AUUGAACGCUGGCGGCAUGCUUUACACAUGCAAGUCGAACGGUAACAGGGUGCUUGCACCGCUGACGAGUGGCGAACGGGUGAGUAAUGCGUCGGAAUGUACCGUGUAAUGGGGGAUAGCUCGGCGAAAGCCGGAUUAAUACCGCAUACGCCCUGAGGGGGAAAGUGGGGGACCGAAAGGCCUCACGUUAUACGAGCAGCCGAUGUCUGAUUAGCUAGUUGGUGAGGUAAAGGCUCACCAAGGCGUCGAUCAGUAGCGGGUCUGAGAGGAUGAUCCGCCACACUGGGACUGAGACACGGCCCAGACUCCUACGGGAGGCAGCAGUGGGGAAUUUUGGACAAUGGGCGCAAGCCUGAUCCAGCCAUGCCGCGUGUCUGAAGAAGGCCUUCGGGUUGUAAAGGACUUUUGUCCGGGAGCAAAUCCUAGUGGUUAAUACCUACUGGGGCUGAGAGUACCGGAAGAAUAAGCACCGGCUAACUACGUG
RNAcentral lists this ribosomal RNA (484 nucleotides) under uncultured bacterium. Its description in RNAcentral is "partial 16S ribosomal RNA". It matches the Rfam family "Bacterial small subunit ribosomal RNA", at positions 30 to 507 of the family's 1533-position model. The record is from RNAcentral.